AUAUUAUUCUUUCAUUAUUUACUCACUACCCAUACCUUCUCCUUUCCCUAUUUAUUCAAUUCAAGCAACCACUUUCACAUUACAUAUGAACAAGUAAGAGGAAACACUUGAAGUAGUUAAAUUUAACUCUUUGGGACAGUUCAAUUAAGAAAGCAAGCUUACUGAAACAAAGAUGGAAGUGAUAGAAGAUGACCUUUUCUUUGCAGACUUGAGUAAGAGGAUCUCCCUUCUGAUCAUGGAUGAUGAUGAAGACCCUACUCUUCACUGCCCUCCUGUUUCCUUCCAGGUCAUCUCUCAAACAAUUCAUCCAAUCCAUCACCAAGUACCAAGUUUGCAUGACCAAAAUGGUAGACGAGAAAUCAAAGGAACGGGCGUGUUCAUCCCACAAUCAUCCACUAAUCGAAGGAGUAAGCAUUCAAGAUCCAAGUCUUCCAACACAAGGAUUCAAACUCAAAGACAUGUUGAUCAUGCUUCAAGUGGACACUUUCCUCAUGAACCCUACCAUAAUCACAAAAAUUCUACUAACCCUAAUUCUUACAAUUCUUUGAAUCACAAAAGAUGCUACUAAAAACCCACUCAAUUAGCUAUAGUACAAUAAACUUCUAAUACAAUUGGAUGUAUAAGCUCAAUUCGUCUGAUUAAUAUGUAAGUGUGUAUUUAAUUUCAUUUCAUUUCAUUUCUGCAUCGAUUUUUUUGUGGGUAUGAAAGCGUACGAGAGUGAUUCUUGUGAGUACUGAAAUUUAAUUUCAUUUGGUAGAUAAUGAAGAGACGUGUUUGA
Cynara cardunculus var. scolymus (artichoke) is the source of this 778-nucleotide long non-coding RNA. RefSeq lists it as uncharacterized. The transcript is spliced from 2 exons. Lineage: Eukaryota; Viridiplantae; Streptophyta; Magnoliopsida; Asterales; Asteraceae. The record is from RefSeq and is a predicted model, not a curated record.